RNAcentral lists this ribosomal RNA (481 nucleotides) under uncultured bacterium. Its description in RNAcentral is "bacterial SSU rRNA". It matches the Rfam family "Bacterial small subunit ribosomal RNA", at positions 29 to 506 of the family's 1533-position model. The record is from RNAcentral.
ACGAACGCUAGCGGCAUGCUUCAAACAUGCAAGUUGUACGCGAAAGGUAGCAAUACCGAGUAGAGUGGCGCACGGGUGCGUAACACGUAGCUAAUGUACCCUCUCGCUGGGGAUAACUCCGGGAAACCGGAGCUAAUACCGAAUGAUCUCAACGGAACCACGGUUCUGUUGGGUAAAGCCCUAGGGCGCGAGAGGAUCGGGCUGCGGCCGAUUAGCUAGUUGGUGGGGUAAUGGCUCACCAAGGCGACGAUCGGUAGCUGGUCUGAGAGGAUGAUCAGCCACACUGGAACUGGAACACGGUCCAGACUCCCACGGGAGGCAGCAGUUGGGAAUAUUGGACAAUGGGGGAAACCCUGAUCCAGCAAUGCCGCGUGAGGGAUGAAGGCCUUCGGGUCGUAAACCUCUUUUAGCAGGGAAAAAGCUUCUAUCUUAAUCGGUAGAGGUUGAUGGUACCUGCAGAAAAAGCACCGGCUAACUCUGU